Molecule: ribosomal RNA, 868 nt
Filed under: Candacia bispinosa
Lineage: Eukaryota; Metazoa; Arthropoda; Copepoda; Calanoida; Candaciidae
Description: partial large subunit ribosomal RNA
Rfam family: Eukaryotic large subunit ribosomal RNA
Source: RNAcentral
UCUAGGUUGUGCGGAAUGUGGUGUUAAGAAGGGUCUUCCAGAGCAUUUAGACACCAGUCAAAGUCCAACUUGACAGUGGCCACAGCCCAUAGAGGGUGAUAGGCCCGUAAGGCGGUUGUCUGGCUCUGCUGACCUCUUCUCCGAGUCAGGUAGCUUGUGAGUGCUGCCCAAAGAGCGAGGUAAACUCCUNGUAAGGCUAAAUACAACCCCAAUACCGAUAGCAAACAAGUACAGUGAUGGAAAUUUGAAAAGAACUUUGAAGAGAGAGUUAAUAGUACGUGAAACUGUAUGGUAGUAAACGCAGCCUCCCUCGAAGUGCAGCAUUGUGGACCCAACCUAAGCGUGUAGUUGCAUGGCUGUCUGUCCGGAGCCGUUAAAAGCCUGGUAGAUGCCGUUGUUUCAGCUGUGCGCGCGGGUGCAUUUCUACAUGCUUGACUGUAGGAACUGUUGGACUUGGACNGAAGGCCCGGGGUGGAGACCGAACUGGCUGUAGUGGCCGGCACGGACCCGCCGGUGUCCUGGCUCCUCGUUCNACAGGCAAUUAGGCCGGCGCUUAUAGAGCGCAAUUGUUGCUAUUGCAACUGGUCGUUCCCUACAGAGUAGGUCGGCGAAGGCUGCGACCCGUCUUGAAACACGGACCAAGGAGUCUAACAUGUAUGCAAGUCAAUGGGUUGUCUAAACCCAGAGGCGCAGUGAAAGCAAAGGGCUGCUUGCAGCCUUAGGGGAGAUCCUUCGGGCGCAUCCCCGCCAUUUCCAAUUGGCUUUGUCCUUUGGGAAUAGGAAGAGCAUACAUGUUGGGACCCGAAAGAUGGUGAACUAUGCCUGACCAGGUUGAAGUCAGGAGAAAUCCUGAUGGAAGACCGUAGCG